UAGAUUGAACGCUUGCGGCAGGCCUAACACAUGCAAGUCGAACGGUAGCACAGAGGAGCUUGCUCCUUGGGUGACGAGUGGCGGACGGGUGAGUAAUGUCUGGGAAACUGCCCGAUGGAGGGGGAUAACUACUGGAAACGGUAGCUAAUACCGCAUAACGUCGCAAGACCAAAGAGGGGGACCUUCGGGCCUCUUGCCAUCGGAUGUGCCCAGAUGGGAUUAGCUAGUAGGUGGGGUAACGGCUCACCUGGGCGACGAUCCCUAGCUGGUCUGAGAGGAUGACCAGCCACACUGGAACUGAGACACGGUCCAGACUCCUACGGGAGGCAGCAAUCGAAUUCCCG
Molecule: ribosomal RNA, 344 nt
Filed under: uncultured Citrobacter sp.
Lineage: Bacteria; Pseudomonadati; Pseudomonadota; Gammaproteobacteria; Enterobacterales; Enterobacteriaceae
Description: bacterial SSU rRNA
Rfam family: Bacterial small subunit ribosomal RNA
Source: RNAcentral